CCUACGGGAGGCAGCAGUGAGGAAUAUUGGUCAAUGGACGCAAGUCUGAACCAGCCAUGCCGCGUGCAGGAUGACGGCGCGAUGAGUUGUAAACUGCUUUUGUACGAGGGGAAACCCCGAUACGUGUAUCGGGUUGAAAGUAACGUACGAAUAAGGAUCGGCUAACUCCGUGCCAGCAGCCGCGGUAAUACGGAGGAUCCGAGCGUUAUCCGGAUUUAUUGGGUUUAAAGGGUGCGUAGGCGGUUUGCUAAGUUAGAGGAGAAAUGUCGGGGCUCAACCCCGAAACUGCCUCUCAUACUGUUGGCCUCUAGCAUAGUUGCGGUAGGCGGAAUGUUUGGUGUAGCGGU
This 347-nucleotide ribosomal RNA is filed under the name uncultured bacterium. RNAcentral describes it as "partial 16S ribosomal RNA". It matches the Rfam family "Bacterial small subunit ribosomal RNA", at positions 338 to 682 of the family's 1533-position model. The record is from RNAcentral.